GCGCUUGCGCGGUUGCGCCCUUGCCCUUCUCUCUCUCUCUCUCCAAGAACAGUACUCCCAUCCCAUGCCUACAGCUACAGGUCGAGCAGUGGCCAGGGGCCCGGAAGAGCACGGGCCAACUAGAGAAGUAGAGAUUGGCAUUACACACAUAAAGUAUAUAUAUAUAUUGGCACGAUGCCCGCUCCUCUGCAUCAGGGCGAUCACGCUAUUCUCCGCGCGAAUGGGUUUGCCGCGGACCCAUAUAGGCUCAUCGGGAGAAGGCGAGCUGACGGGCCGAGCGGCCGCCACGCCGACCGUCGCCGACCAGUCGUCCACCGGCAAUCACCGAGGCCGUCGCGCCCGCCGGCCAUUCAUUCAUAGUCUCUCGGUCUCUCUUCCUGCUACUUUCUUCUCCUGACGGUACUUACUCGCGGCCGAGAUGAUGACCCCGGUCAGAACUUCUUCUGCCUCGCGUUUUGGGGUCGUGGGGUUCUUGCUUCUGCGGCUCUGCCUGGCUUCUGCCUCGCUUCGCUUGUUCGCCUACUUGGAUCGGGUGCCCUGCCCAUGCGCUCUGCAUUUUCUCGUCACAUCGAUUCCGCUCGAAACGAAGCUGGUGGUUCGUUUUACUUCAAUCCAAUGUCGCAUUCCCCCUCCUCCUCCUCCUAUCCGAUUGGUGUGGUGCUAACAUGUCCUUUCUCUUGCGCUUUGCGAAAGCACUCUCAUAAGGAAAAAAAAACCAACCUUGCAGUGCAGAAUUCUCUCCGUUAGUCUCAAAUCUCGCUACUAGAGCGCUAUCAAACUCUACUUUCUUUCCAAAAGAUUUCAGAUAAAUCUUUAUAAAUGGGGGUACUUUACUACUCUGAUUCUGCUGUACAAGUAGAAGGCACUAAACAUGACCUAACAGUCAAGCUGGUCGCGUUGUUUUCCGGCUUCAAGGAAUAUGUGGCGUUAAUCAUGGUGUAAUCCAAAAAAAUCCACGUGCAAAAUGACUGACAGCCUCUUCACGCCACCAGUCUUGCUCACGAGCCUAGUCCAUGCUACAGUCGAGAGCUGGUAGAACGGAUAUGCCUCGUAAUUAUCGGCGUCACCAUCGCUGUUGUCGCUGUCCCACUGCUGCUAGUGCUAGCUACUCCUACGUACAGCAGGAAGACAGGGCGGGGACAGCCGCGGGCCCCACCUAGCAACAAAGCCGGGCCCCACGCCCUGCCAGUGGUGCAUGAGAAUCCAGGCCCAGGCCCAGGCGGGCCCCUCUCGCCGUGGAGGCGUGGAGGCGUUAGCGUCCGUAAUUCUCGCAGGCUGUCCCUGUCGACGGGAGAUGUGUCACGUGUCGAACCCCUCCGCCGACGCUCCAGUCGACCUGUGUGUGCAAUGUUGGUGUAGGUGGACGGUGGUGGCGGCGGCGGUACAGGCCGUGGAGCGAGAUCGUCGGUGAUAGGACUCGGUCCAAAAUGCAAUGUUGACGUAAAAAUUGGACCUAAAACUACACGAGUCAGUUUUAAUUGUUGCGCCAACUGCUGCUGCGUCGUGUACCUCCACGCGGAGCAGUCGGAGGCGAAGAACGGCGCGGACCACGGAGGAGAGCACUUAGCCAUGAACGGCGGCGCGUCGCUAGACGGCACGGACCACGGAAGCGAGCACUCAGCGACGAGCGGUGGCUCAGUACACGGCGGCUGGCGGAGACGCGGCGCUAGAUGCCGGCGGAGACGCGUAAAAGUAGACGGCGGCUCUCAGACGAGACGAGUGAACCCCAAGCCGCGACUCGACGAGCUAUGGAAAGUGUGGGCUGUAGUUGGGCCGGACCAGCAGGCCCGAAUCGCGUUAAAACUGCUGGCGGAUGCGCCGACGCGUCCGAUUGUGAGCUCACGGCACAUAUGGCGUGACUGUUUUGUAACUGCAUUUGCACGUGAAAUUACACAACCUACCUAGUUCCGGUAGGGGCAGAGGGUGUCUUGAGGCCACGGUCCACGACUGUGAGUGCUGCACGCCUGCACACACUACAGCCUGUGAACCGGUCUUGCCACCCCUUUCAGCUGUCAGCUCUGAUGAAAAUAUCCAAUAAUGAAACCUAUGAAUACCAGGCCUGAGAAGUAGGUCGGGCCAAGUUGCUUGCA
Zea mays is the source of this 2090-nucleotide long non-coding RNA. RefSeq lists it as uncharacterized. NCBI's taxonomy places the organism in Eukaryota, Viridiplantae, Streptophyta, Magnoliopsida, Poales, Poaceae. The transcript is spliced from 2 exons. The record is from RefSeq and is a predicted model, not a curated record.